UCACCACUGCCAGUCAGUCCCACGUUGUAUUUUGUAGUCCUAAAUCAGUCCAAGCCAAAACCACAAAAUGCUUGGUUUGGUCUCCAGAAGACUGUCUCAGCUCAGAUGGGUUGGAGAUUCAUCCACCCAACGCUGUUUUGUUCAAAGAUCAUCUCUCAAACUCCUUUCAAACACCACAAACGAAAACAAACGGCAGUCUCUCUCUGUAGAUUACCUCGUUAACUCAUGUGGGUUGUCCCCAGAAUUAGCUUUCAAACGAUACGCUCUCAGCGGACUCUAUUCUCACCCUCGUCAAGAACUACGGAUUCACUCAACACCAAAUAUCUAUCAUUAUUUCCCACAACCUAGAUGUUCUCAGAUUGGAUCCUGACAAAAUCUUGAAACCCAAAAGUGAAUUGCUCUGUGAUAUGGGCAUUUCAAACUCAGUCCUCAUGAAGAUCCUCUCAAGAUGCGCUAACUUCUUGACCAUCAAUUUAGAGAGAACACAUUCCUACCUUGGAAUUCUUCAAGAGUUUCAUCCACAUGAAUGAGAAGGUUGCUGUUACUCUUAGUCGUAUGAGCUGGUGCAGCGGUCGAAUUCCUGAAAGAAUGACGGGCAAUAUUGAGUUCUUGCGAAAUCAGGGUGUACCAGAGUCCAACAUUUCGAACCUAAUAUUUCGUCAACCUCGACUACUUACUUGGCCAGGGGAACGGUUUAAGGGGAUCGUCAUGGAAGCUAAGGAAAUGGGAUUGAAUCCCACGACUACCACUUUUAUCCAUGGCAUUUGCGCAGGGGCAGGGAUGAGUAAACCUGUUUGGGAAGCAAAAAUAGCAGUUUUUUGUAGUUUUGGAGGGUCAGAAGAUGAGAUAUUUUCGAUGUUACAGAAAUCUCCCACCAUUUGUGCUCUUUCUGAGAAGAGGAUAAGGGAAAGACUGGAUUACUUCAUGAACGAAUUGAAUUGGACAGUUGCGGAUCUUGGGAAGUGUCCUGCUGCGUUUCAGUGUAGCAUGGAGAAUAGGAUUGUUCCAAGGUGUUCUGUUCUUCGAGUUUUGGUGGCAAAGGGUCUGAUAAAGGUGGAGAAAAUGGUUAGAGCUAUCCAAUUGACUAAUGAUAAGUUCUUGGAUAAGUAUGUGUUGAAAUAUACAGAUGAAUUACCUGAACUAUUAGAAAUGUACCAAAAAGAGAUGGGAAUCUGGGAACCAGAAGUGGAAUCGGAGAUGGAGAUUGGGUCUGACAUAAUGAGUGGGUGGAGAAUUUCUAAAAUGUUUUGCUUUAUAAUUGGGAAAUUAUCCACAUUUUUUCCAUAAUGAUUUUGGGUUUGCUAGUCUGAACCACUAGGGGUUGGGAUCAUUGAUUACAGAGUGUAAUGCUGCCUUGGUUAUUAAGUGGAUUGAAAGAAGUGGCCCUUAUUGAUAUCAUCAUCCCAUUAGAAGGGCCAGAUUUCUCAGUGCUUAUUAAAAAAAAAAAAAAAAAAAAAAUCUCUUUACAGUGAGUGCCAUGUGACCUGCUGAUGGCCUAGCUGAUGAGUAAACUAAACUAGGGGUAGACAGAAGAAUCUGUUGUUUGGGGCGUUAGUUCAUCACAAAUUGUAAUGUUUCUCUUACUCUGUUUUUGGUUCUUGUUGCCACUUUUAUCUGUUAUGUCAUAUCUUGCUUUGGUCUCAAUAAAUAUUUAUGUGAUUUUAUCAAUAAAGGGGAAAAUAUUUCUGCAUUUUGAGGGACAAAUCUUUGAAGUUUGAACAGUAUAUUGUCCUAAUUUUGUUACCUAGAAUUUGAUGAACUGUAGUUGAUUAAAUAAUGUAUUGUGGAUGUUAGGCAUUGCAGGUGAGAAAUUUCGAUAGCUUUGUAGAGGGAGCAACUGUAUGUCUGUCUUUCAUUGUUUGUGCAAGCUUGACAUCAACUUUGGCUGAUGGAUGCCUAAAAUUUCUGCAUAUUAUAUAAUCUAAAUUUGUAUGAGUUUCAAAACUAAUGCAACACUAUGGCUAUCUUAUUUUGUACAUUUUUUUAUGAUGUAUUUUUGUGUGUGGAACUUCAGUAGAACUUUUGAAUUAAUAUCUGCCAGCACUGAUGCAGUAUGAUGGGUCUCAAAGAGGGGCCACACCAGCCAGCGCUGCUCCGUUGAGCUAGCCCAAUUUUGGCCCCCCAUAUGGACCAUCCAUGGGACCAGUGUGGCCAGCAUUAAUAGGUCCUGUGGCCUGAGUCUUAGGCACAUUAGUUAGUUGGGCAAGGUUUCGGCUCAUUAAGGGACCCCUUUAAUUGACUUGCGUGGGAGUCGUCUAAUCAAUUUCUAAUUUCUACUUUUUUUCUAUUUUGGUAGAUUACAGCAGAGUCUUUAUCUUGUAACUAGUUUCUAUUUUUAUGUAACUAGUAGUAGGGAACCAUAUUAGAGUAGUUUCUAAAUUGAUUAGAUUGCAAUUAGGAAGGCAUGCAAGGAAGGAUCCAGUUUCUGUGCUUAAUAAAAACAAGAGCUGCAUCAUAGUACCCACGACUUGAAUUUUGAGAAAGCUUGGCUUUGCCUUCUGUGCUGCGAGAGACAGUUGGUGUGAGACCAAGUUCAGUGUCUCCUUCUUCCCUUUCUAUUAUAUAUACACUCCAAUUGUGUUCUGUUGGAGACUACUGAGGCUUCACUGGAGAUCAUCUAAGGUGUUGUUUAUGUGCUAACAUGUUCCAUCAAGUUCCAUUAAGAGUCUAAAUAUUGGAGGCUAAGUUAUACCCUGCAGCAUCUUCUGUUCUGGAGAUUCUGGGUAGAAAACUUCUAGCUUGUAGAUUUUACGUCCAACCAUCUCAACUGAAGCCACCCUUCUAGUAUGAUGUUCACCAUAUUCCCGCCCUCCUUCAACAGUAGUUUCAUACUUUCAUGAUCGUCAUCCAUUGGAUGCAUAUAGCUGUGACUGUAAGUUUACUAAUUAUUACCUCUAGUUUUUAAUUCUGUGCAGGAGCCAUUGCUCCACAUCCAGCCAUCCUUUGAGGCUGAUCUUUUGAAUUGUUUUUCCAUUAUCCAUGUCCUUUUAAUGACUUCAGAAUGGACAUGAUCUGACAGGUGGUUUGGGCACUCCUGAUAAGUUUCUAAUUCUACUUCCAAGUUGCUAUUUCUGUUCAUGUUGGCCUGCCGUAUGCACUGAUAUCAGUGGUUAAUAUUGAAGUAUUAUCUUCCGGUAGCAUCUCUCUGAUUGUAGAAGUUCAGGUGGUUACUAAUUUUGUUGAUAGUUGCUAUAUUGUGCUUCCAUUAGUCUACGCAAUCUGUCCGUGGAUUACUGUGGGUUUGAUAUAUAUUACUCUCACAAUUGAGUGGAUGGUCUGUUGUUGAUUUGAUGGUGAGCUACUGUGUUGAUGUGGAGUAUAGCUAGUUUACUAAUUCUGAAGCCUAACUAUUAUUUUGCUGACCUUACAGUGUCUCUCCUUCAUACCGUUGGGUUGAAAUCAACUUUUGGAAUAUUGAAGGACCUAGAGAGACCUACAAACAACAACUCACUCCGCCUUAUCCCAACUAAAUGGGGCCUACCUCAACUCUUUUAGCUCCUUCAAAUUGAAAUAGAUCACUUCUUCAAACUGGAGCAUUCGACAGCCUCCGUUGUACAUGCCGAGGUUUGCUCUAAUUGGUUCAUUCUUUAUUUUAUCUUUCCUGGUUUUACCAAUCAUCUAUCACAAAAUCCUCAUUCGGAGCCUUACCUUGUCAUAAUUUGUUAUGUUUUCCAUACUCAUUUUUGGUCUUGUUGCCAGCUUUAUCUGUUUUUCUGUUAUUGUAAUAUCUUGCUUUGAUCUCAGUAAAAGCUUGUGCGAUUUUACCAAUGACACGGAAAAUCUUCAGCUUUCUGAGGGACCAAUCUAUUAAAUUGGAACGGUAGAUUGCCUUGAUUUGAUUGAACUGCAGAUGAUAUGUAUACAUAGAUUAUAAAUAUUAUUGUUCUAUUAUAGAUUUUCUUAUUCUGUCGUCGUUUUCUAUUACAGAGUUUCUUAUCCAAUAUUGAAUAACUUAAUUCUUUGAGUACUCUGUUUAGGUGCUUACUGAGAUGACCAAUGGGGGAGUUGACUGGAGUGUUUGAGUGUUCCGGAAAUAUUGAUGUCAUGAUCUCUGCAUUUGAUUGUGUUCGUGGUGGUUGGGGUGUUGCUGUUCUUGUUGAUGUUCCACAAAAGAUGCCGUAUUCAAGAUCCACCCCAUAAAAGAAAGUAAGAGCAACCCAAUGCACGAGGCUUCCGCUACUGCGGGUCUGGGAGAGGCAAAUGUAUGUAGGAGAGACUGUUUCCAAGUAUUAAACUUAUGUACAACAUGUUGCACUAAUGCACUAUGUUGCAAUAGCGUCACAUGCUCACCCUCUACAACUCUAAAGGGAACAUUCUUUGGGAACUAAAAGCUGUGUUCGGAUCUGCCCUCUGUUGUAUAAAAAUACACGAGGAAUGUGAGACUUCAUUGUGUCCGGUGUG
Macadamia integrifolia is the source of this 4401-nucleotide RNA transcript. RefSeq lists it as uncharacterized. The transcript has 3 exons. The record is from RefSeq and is a predicted model, not a curated record. NCBI's taxonomy places the organism in Eukaryota, Viridiplantae, Streptophyta, Magnoliopsida, Proteales, Proteaceae.